CAACAGGGAUUGCCCCAGUAACGGCGAGUGAAGCGGCAACAGCUCAAAUUUGAAAUCUGGCCCCCCGGGCCCGAGUUGUAAUUUGUAGAGGAUGCUUUUGGUGAGGCGCCGCCCGAGUUCCCUGGAACGGGACGCCACAGAGGGUGAGAGCCCCGUCUGGUUGGCCGCCGAGCCUCUGUAAAGCUCCUUCGACGAGUCGAGUAGUUUGGGAAUGCUGCUCAAAAUGGGAGGUAUAUGUCUUCUAAAGCUAAAUACCGGCCAGAGACCGAUAGCGCACAAGUAGAGUGAUCGAAAGAUGAAAAGCACUUUGAAAAGAGGGUUAAAUAGUACGUGAAAUUGUUGAAAGGGAAGCACUUGUGACCAGACUUGGGCUUGGCGAAUCAUCCGGCGUUCUCGCCGGUGCACUUUGCCUCGUCCAGGCCAGCAUCAGUUCGUCCCGGGGGACAAAGGCUUUGGGAACGUGGCUCCUCCGGGAGUGUUAUAGCCCACUGCGUAAUACCCUGGGGUGGACUGAGGUUCGCGCAUCUGCAUGGAUGC
RNAcentral lists this ribosomal RNA (537 nucleotides) under Cladobotryum obconicum. RNAcentral's name for it is "partial 28S ribosomal RNA". It matches the Rfam family "Eukaryotic large subunit ribosomal RNA", at positions 66 to 626 of the family's 3401-position model. The record is from RNAcentral. Lineage: Eukaryota; Fungi; Ascomycota; Sordariomycetes; Hypocreales; Hypocreaceae.